UACCAUGCCCAGCAAGCUGGUGGCUUCUUUACUUAUAGUACGGAAGCCUGAAAAGGGAAUCUGGUGAGAACCCAGAACUGACGCGCAGCGGUAUAAGAGAACGACCCCCAAUAGACACUGCUUUGAGGAAUAAAGUGGGAAGUCGGGGCAGUAGGCUUUAGCUCUUGAGUCCGAAUACCUGCCAGCGGCUAAGCAAAUGA
Molecule: non-coding RNA, 200 nt
Filed under: Vibrio sp.
Lineage: Bacteria; Pseudomonadati; Pseudomonadota; Gammaproteobacteria; Vibrionales; Vibrionaceae
Source: RNAcentral